UUAAGCAUGUAGGCUGAUUGUCCAGGCAAAUCCGGAUAAUCAAGGCUGAGGUGUGAUGACGAGGCACUACGGUGCUGAAGUAACAAAUGCCCUGCUUCCAGGAAAAGCCUCUAAGCAUCAGGUAACAUUAAAUCGUACCCCAAACCGACACAGGUGGUCAGGUAGAGAAUACCAAGGCGCUUGAGAGAACUCGGGUGAAGGAACUAGGCAAAAUGGUGCCGUAACUUCGGGAGAAGGCACGCUGGUGUGUAGGUGAA
Molecule: ribosomal RNA, 257 nt
Filed under: Klebsiella pneumoniae
Lineage: Bacteria; Pseudomonadati; Pseudomonadota; Gammaproteobacteria; Enterobacterales; Enterobacteriaceae
Description: partial 23S ribosomal RNA
Rfam family: Bacterial large subunit ribosomal RNA
Source: RNAcentral